Molecule: ribosomal RNA, 2904 nt
Filed under: Escherichia coli
Lineage: Bacteria; Pseudomonadati; Pseudomonadota; Gammaproteobacteria; Enterobacterales; Enterobacteriaceae
Description: 23S ribosomal RNA
Rfam family: Bacterial large subunit ribosomal RNA
Source: RNAcentral
GGUUAAGCGACUAAGCGUACACGGUGGAUGCCCUGGCAGUCAGAGGCGAUGAAGGACGUGCUAAUCUGCGAUAAGCGUCGGUAAGGUGAUAUGAACCGUUAUAACCGGCGAUUUCCGAAUGGGGAAACCCAGUGUGAUUCGUCACACUAUCAUUAACUGAAUCCAUAGGUUAAUGAGGCGAACCGGGGGAACUGAAACAUCUAAGUACCCCGAGGAAAAGAAAUCAACCGAGAUUCCCCCAGUAGCGGCGAGCGAACGGGGAGCAGCCCAGAGCCUGAAUCAGUGUGUGUGUUAGUGGAAGCGUCUGGAAAGGCGCGCGAUACAGGGUGACAGCCCCGUACACAAAAAUGCACAUGCUGUGAGCUCGAUGAGUAGGGCGGGACACGUGGUAUCCUGUCUGAAUAUGGGGGGACCAUCCUCCAAGGCUAAAUACUCCUGACUGACCGAUAGUGAACCAGUACCGUGAGGGAAAGGCGAAAAGAACCCCGGCGAGGGGAGUGAAAAAGAACCUGAAACCGUGUACGUACAAGCAGUGGGAGCACGCUUAGGCGUGUGACUGCGUACCUUUUGUAUAAUGGGUCAGCGACUUAUAUUCUGUAGCAAGGUUAACCGAAUAGGGGAGCCGAAGGGAAACCGAGUCUUAACUGGGCGUUAAGUUGCAGGGUAUAGACCCGAAACCCGGUGAUCUAGCCAUGGGCAGGUUGAAGGUUGGGUAACACUAACUGGAGGACCGAACCGACUAAUGUUGAAAAAUUAGCGGAUGACUUGUGGCUGGGGGUGAAAGGCCAAUCAAACCGGGAGAUAGCUGGUUCUCCCCGAAAGCUAUUUAGGUAGCGCCUCGUGAAUUCAUCUCCGGGGGUAGAGCACUGUUUCGGCAAGGGGGUCAUCCCGACUUACCAACCCGAUGCAAACUGCGAAUACCGGAGAAUGUUAUCACGGGAGACACACGGCGGGUGCUAACGUCCGUCGUGAAGAGGGAAACAACCCAGACCGCCAGCUAAGGUCCCAAAGUCAUGGUUAAGUGGGAAACGAUGUGGGAAGGCCCAGACAGCCAGGAUGUUGGCUUAGAAGCAGCCAUCAUUUAAAGAAAGCGUAAUAGCUCACUGGUCGAGUCGGCCUGCGCGGAAGAUGUAACGGGGCUAAACCAUGCACCGAAGCUGCGGCAGCGACGCUUAUGCGUUGUUGGGUAGGGGAGCGUUCUGUAAGCCUGUGAAGGUGUGCUGUGAGGCAUGCUGGAGGUAUCAGAAGUGCGAAUGCUGACAUAAGUAACGAUAAAGCGGGUGAAAAGCCCGCUCGCCGGAAGACCAAGGGUUCCUGUCCAACGUUAAUCGGGGCAGGGUGAGUCGACCCCUAAGGCGAGGCCGAAAGGCGUAGUCGAUGGGAAACAGGUUAAUAUUCCUGUACUUGGUGUUACUGCGAAGGGGGGACGGAGAAGGCUAUGUUGGCCGGGCGACGGUUGUCCCGGUUUAAGCGUGUAGGCUGGUUUUCCAGGCAAAUCCGGAAAAUCAAGGCUGAGGCGUGAUGACGAGGCACUACGGUGCUGAAGCAACAAAUGCCCUGCUUCCAGGAAAAGCCUCUAAGCAUCAGGUAACAUCAAAUCGUACCCCAAACCGACACAGGUGGUCAGGUAGAGAAUACCAAGGCGCUUGAGAGAACUCGGGUGAAGGAACUAGGCAAAAUGGUGCCGUAACUUCGGGAGAAGGCACGCUGAUAUGUAGGUGAAGUCCCUCGCGGAUGGAGCUGAAAUCAGUCGAAGAUACCAGCUGGCUGCAACUGUUUAUUAAAAACACAGCACUGUGCAAACACGAAAGUGGACGUAUACGGUGUGACGCCUGCCCGGUGCCGGAAGGUUAAUUGAUGGGGUUAGCGCAAGCGAAGCUCUUGAUCGAAGCCCCGGUAAACGGCGGCCGUAACUAUAACGGUCCUAAGGUAGCGAAAUUCCUUGUCGGGUAAGUUCCGACCUGCACGAAUGGCGUAAUGAUGGCCAGGCUGUCUCCACCCGAGACUCAGUGAAAUUGAACUCGCUGUGAAGAUGCAGUGUACCCGCGGCAAGACGGAAAGACCCCGUGAACCUUUACUAUAGCUUGACACUGAACAUUGAGCCUUGAUGUGUAGGAUAGGUGGGAGGCUUUGAAGUGUGGACGCCAGUCUGCAUGGAGCCGACCUUGAAAUACCACCCUUUAAUGUUUGAUGUUCUAACGUUGACCCGUGAUCCGGGUUGCGGACAGUGUCUGGUGGGUAGUUUGACUGGGGCGGUCUCCUCCUAAAGAGUAACGGAGGAGCACGAAGGUUGGCUAAUCCUGGUCGGACAUCAGGAGGUUAGUGCAAUGGCAUAAGCCAGCUUGACUGCGAGCGUGACGGCGCGAGCAGGUGCGAAAGCAGGUCAUAGUGAUCCGGUGGUUCUGAAUGGAAGGGCCAUCGCUCAACGGAUAAAAGGUACUCCGGGGAUAACAGGCUGAUACCGCCCAAGAGUUCAUAUCGACGGCGGUGUUUGGCACCUCGAUGUCGGCUCAUCACAUCCUGGGGCUGAAGUAGGUCCCAAGGGUAUGGCUGUUCGCCAUUUAAAGUGGUACGCGAGCUGGGUUUAGAACGUCGUGAGACAGUUCGGUCCCUAUCUGCCGUGGGCGCUGGAGAACUGAGGGGGGCUGCUCCUAGUACGAGAGGACCGGAGUGGACGCAUCACUGGUGUUCGGGUUGUCAUGCCAAUGGCACUGCCCGGUAGCUAAAUGCGGAAGAGAUAAGUGCUGAAAGCAUCUAAGCACGAAACUUGCCCCGAGAUGAGUUCUCCCUGACUCCUUGAGAGUCCUGAAGGAACGUUGAAGACGACGACGUUGAUAGGCCGGGUGUGUAAGCGCAGCGAUGCGUUGAGCUAACCGGUACUAAUGAACCGUGAGGCUUAACCUU